This 95-nucleotide transfer RNA is filed under the name Mycobacterium paraseoulense. RNAcentral's name for it is "tRNA-Arg". Lineage: Bacteria; Bacillati; Actinomycetota; Actinomycetes; Mycobacteriales; Mycobacteriaceae. The record is from RNAcentral.
GUUCACGCUCACGUCGGAGGCCGUGGACGGCGGUGCCCCCUGGGUGCUGGAGUGCGAGGCGGGCACGCCGGUGGUUCGGGUCCUCGGCGUGUGCA